AAUCCGUGUUGUGGGCACUUUCUCAGGAGCUCCUUGAACUUUUCCAGCAUCUCAAAUAGAGACUCCAAUUCUGACUGCAUAAAGGACGAGAUCUCAUUCAUAAGUUU
Dioscorea cayenensis subsp. rotundata (Guinea yam) is the source of this 107-nucleotide small nucleolar RNA. The record is from RefSeq and is a predicted model, not a curated record. Lineage: Eukaryota; Viridiplantae; Streptophyta; Magnoliopsida; Dioscoreales; Dioscoreaceae.